AUGAAGCACAGGAUGAUCUUUAUUGUUGUGCUAAUGAUCUAUUUAAUACAGGAAUGCAGGAGUCAGACACUGGUUGAAUCUGAGGCUGUAGUGGUUAAACCAGGAGAAUCUCAUAAACUGACCUGUACCGCUUCUGGUUUUAACUUUGGUGGCUCUUGGAUGGCUUGGAUCAGACAGGCUGCUGGGAAAGGGCCAGAAUGGGUAGCAACACUUUCCAGUGGCAACAGCUAUAUCUAUUAUUCUGACAAGGUUAAGGGAAGAUUUACUAUUUCACGAGAUGAUAACAAGAACCAGCUGUACCUUCAGAUGAACAGUCUUAAAACCGAAGACACUGCUGUUUACUACUGUGCCAGAGACACAGUGAGACAAAAGGAUGUGGUGUUGCACAAAAACAGAAGCAGACAGCUGUACAAAGUGUUCGGUACUCUGCCAAAAUAA
This is a non-coding RNA of Danio aesculapii, 438 nucleotides long. NCBI's taxonomy places the organism in Eukaryota, Metazoa, Chordata, Actinopteri, Cypriniformes, Danionidae. The record is from the annotation of a RefSeq genome assembly.